GUCGGUUUUUGAAACAUCACUAAGGUCGGCCAGAAACGAUGACCUCAGAUUCCGCAGCCUGCUUCUACACAGUGCGGCAAAUUUACACAGGAGAUAUUAGAUAGUUUCCUCCUCUUCGUAGUUCUUACAGCUACUGCAUUAUAUUCGGAAA
Molecule: long non-coding RNA, 151 nt
Organism: Rhagoletis zephyria (snowberry fruit fly)
Lineage: Eukaryota; Metazoa; Arthropoda; Insecta; Diptera; Tephritidae
Source: RefSeq, a predicted model, not a curated record